Molecule: ribosomal RNA, 403 nt
Filed under: uncultured bacterium
Lineage: Bacteria
Description: bacterial SSU rRNA
Rfam family: Bacterial small subunit ribosomal RNA
Source: RNAcentral
GGGCCCGCACAAGCGGUGGAGCAUGCGGAUUAAUUCGAUGCAACGCGAAGAACCUUACCAAGGCUUGACAUAUAGAGGAAAAGUGUAGAAAUACACUCCCCGCAAGGUCUCUAUACAGGUGGUGCAUGGUUGUCGUCAGCUCGUGUCGUGAGAUGUUGGGUUAAGUCCCGCAACGAGCGCAACCCUCGUCCUAUGUUGCCAGCACGUAAUGGUGGGAACUCAUGGGAUACUGCCGGGGUCAACUCGGAGGAAGGUGGGGAUGACGUCAAAUCAUCAUGCCCCUUAUGUCUUGGGCUUCACGCAUGCUACAAUGGCCGGUACAGAGGGCAGCAAUACCGUAAGGUGGAGCGAAUCCCACAAAGCCGGUCUCAGUUCGGAUUGAGGUCUGCAACUCGACCUCAUG